RNAcentral lists this microRNA precursor (206 nucleotides) under Oryza brachyantha (malo sina). Its description in RNAcentral is "MIR812 microRNA precursor family". It matches the Rfam family "MIR812 microRNA precursor family". Lineage: Eukaryota; Viridiplantae; Streptophyta; Magnoliopsida; Poales; Poaceae. The record is from Rfam by way of RNAcentral.
AAUAAGUUUAUUUUUUAGUUUUUAGAUAUAAUAUUUUGACUCUUUGUCUUAUUUGAAAAUUUUCUGCGUUUAAUUUGUAUUGUUACUAGAUGAUAAAACAUGAAUAGUACUUUUUGUCUGACUAAUUUUUUUAAGUUUCUGUAUAAAUUUUUCAAAUAAGACGAAUGAUCAAACGUUGGACACAGAAAUCGAAAAAUAAAAUUAUU